UAUGGCCAUACCACCCUGAACGCACCCAGCCUCGUCUGAUCUCGGAAGCUAAGCAGGGUCGGGCCUGGUUAGUACUUGGAUGGGAGAUUUAUUAUUUAUUGCAGGUGAGGAGCUAUGU
This 118-nucleotide ribosomal RNA is filed under the name Octodon degus (degu). The record is from RNAcentral. Lineage: Eukaryota; Metazoa; Chordata; Mammalia; Rodentia; Octodontidae.